RNAcentral lists this ribosomal RNA (253 nucleotides) under uncultured bacterium. Its description in RNAcentral is "partial 16S ribosomal RNA". It matches the Rfam family "Bacterial small subunit ribosomal RNA", at positions 524 to 776 of the family's 1533-position model. The record is from RNAcentral.
UACGUAGGGUGCAGGCGUUAAUCGGAAUUACUGGGCGUAAAGCGUGCGCAGGCGGUUUCUUAAGUCAGAUGUGAAAGCCCCGGGCUUAACCUGGGAACUGCGUUUGAAACUGGGAGACUUGAGUGUGGCAGAGGGGGGUGGAAUUCCACGUGUAGCAGUGAAAUGCGUAGAUAUUGGGAAGAACACCGGUGGCGAAGGCGGCGCUCUGGACCGAGACUGACGCUGAGGAGCGAAAGCGUGGGGAGCGAACAGG